AGUUCGAGCGAAUCCCCGCAGGGGGGAAGCGGCGAAGGGGCAGUAAGGCRUGGGUAACCUACCCYGGGGACUGGKAUAGCCCUUCGAGAGAAGGGGUAAUMCCGGGCGACGUGUCGRGSSGGCAUCKSYYUGCCACCAAAUGAAUUUCGCCCYGGGAGGGGCCCAYGUGAUAUUAGCUAGUUGGURRGGUAACGGCYYACCAAGGCGAAGAUGUCUAGCGGGUGUGAGAGCACGACCCGCGCCACUGGCACUGAGACACUGGCCAGACACCUACGGGUGGCUGCAGUCGAGGAUCUUCGGCAAUGGGCGCAAGCCUGACCGAGCGACGCCGCGUGKGCGAUGAAGGCCUUCGGGUUGUAAAGCMCUGUCGAGGGGGAGAAARYUUGAUCUAUCYCUGGAGGAAGCACGGGCUAAGUUCGUGCCAGCAGCCGCGGUAAGACGAACCGUGCGAACGYUGUUCGGAAUCACUGGGCUUAAAGGGCGCGUAGGCGGGYCKYCAAGUCYGCGGUGAAAUCCYCCGGCUCAACCGGRGAACUGCCKCGGAUACUGRAGGUCUCGAGGGAGGUAGGGGUAUGCGGAACUGCGGGUGGAGCGGUGAAAUGCGUUGAUAUCCGCAGGAACUCCGGUGGCGAAGGCGGCGUGCUGGACCUCUUCUGACGCUGAGGCGCGAAGCCA
Molecule: ribosomal RNA, 675 nt
Filed under: uncultured bacterium
Lineage: Bacteria
Description: partial 16S ribosomal RNA
Rfam family: Bacterial small subunit ribosomal RNA
Source: RNAcentral